GCCCUUUGUACACACCGCCCG
This 21-nucleotide non-coding RNA is filed under the name Arabidopsis thaliana (thale cress). The record is from RNAcentral. RNAcentral also lists the same sequence under 1 other name. Lineage: Eukaryota; Viridiplantae; Streptophyta; Magnoliopsida; Brassicales; Brassicaceae.